RNAcentral lists this ribosomal RNA (253 nucleotides) under uncultured bacterium. Its description in RNAcentral is "partial 16S ribosomal RNA". It matches the Rfam family "Bacterial small subunit ribosomal RNA", at positions 524 to 776 of the family's 1533-position model. The record is from RNAcentral.
UACGAAGGGUGCAAGCGUUAAUCGGAAUUACUGGGCGUAAAGCGUGCGUAGGCGGUCUUUUAAGUCCGUUGUGAAAGCCCUGGGCUCAACCUGGGAAUGGCAGUGGAUACUGGAAGGCUGGAGUACGGUAGAGGAGGGUGGAAUUCCCGGUGUAGCGGUGAAAUGCGUAGAGAUCGGGAGGAACACCCAAGGCGAAAGCACUCUGCUGGGCCGACACUGACACUGAGAGACGAAAGCUAGGGGAGCAAAUGGG